UUUUGGUCUUGUAAGCCAAAGGAUGAAGGUCACCCCCCCUCCUAGAGUU
RNAcentral lists this transfer RNA (49 nucleotides) under Pionus chalcopterus (Bronze-winged parrot). RNAcentral describes it as "partial tRNA-Thr". The record is from RNAcentral. Lineage: Eukaryota; Metazoa; Chordata; Aves; Psittaciformes; Psittacidae.